CCUACUGGCGAGUGAGCGGCAAAAGCUCAAAUUUGAAAUCUGGCACCUUCGGUGUCCGAGUUGUAAUUUGAAGAAGGUAACUUUGGAGUUGGCUCUUGUCUAUGUUCCUUGGAACAGGACGUCACAGAGGGUGAGAAUCCCGUGCGAUGAGAUGCCCAAUUCUAUGUAAAGUGCUUUCGAAGAGUCGAGUUGUUUGGGAAUGCAGCUCUAAGUGGGUGGUAAAUUCCAUCUAAAGCUAAAUAUUGGCGAGAGACCGAUAGCGAACAAGUACAGUGAUGGAAAGAUGAAAAGAACUUUGAAAAGAGAGUGAAAAAGUACGUGAAAUUGUUGAAAGGGAAGGGCUUGAGAUCAGACUUGGUAUUUUGCGAUCCUUUCCUUCUUGGUUGGGUUCCUCGCAGCUUACUGGGCCAGCAUCGGUUUGGAUGGUAGGAUAAUGACUAAGGAAUGUGGCUCUACUUCGGUGGAGUGUUAUAGCCUUGGUUGAUACUGCCUGUCUAGACCGAGGACUGCGUCUUUGACUAGGAUGCUGGCAUAAUGAUCUUAAGCCACCCGUCUUGAAACCACGGACCACUAAA
RNAcentral lists this ribosomal RNA (575 nucleotides) under Debaryomyces hansenii. RNAcentral describes it as "eukaryotic LSU rRNA". It matches the Rfam family "Eukaryotic large subunit ribosomal RNA", at positions 78 to 673 of the family's 3401-position model. The record is from RNAcentral. Lineage: Eukaryota; Fungi; Ascomycota; Pichiomycetes; Serinales; Debaryomycetaceae.